CCAGACUCACAAAUCGAACUAUAAAAUCACAGUCCUUAAUUUAUACAUAUUCUCCUAAACCUGAGAACACUCUUAAAUCGAACUACAUUCAAACAGCAAACCAAAUCCAGACCUUAAGACAAAAUAUAAUAUCAGUGAAUGAAAUACACAUAAUGAGCUAGUCUAAAAGAAACAAGAACAAAAAUAUGACAAAUUCGAGCAGUAAUCAACAACAGAAGACUAACAUUUGUCAUUUUUCUUCAACUUGGAUUACAUGUCUUCACAUUUGCAUCUCAUAUGCUACUCAAAAGCCAAAGCAUACCUGAAUACAGCAAUCAAAACCAAGAAGAAGUUGUGCUUAAGAGUCAUCAGAAUGCAGAAAUUCAGUCACAGCAACAGUACUUCCACAACAAUGAAAUAGUGCUAAAGCAACAAAUCUACCCAAACUUUUAAACUAACUCAAGCCAUUUUUUCAGCCCAGGUGCAUGAUUUUGGAGCAGUUUUAGAAGUUCUAACUAACAAAGGGAAUCAGAGAACCAAAAACCAAGCACAAUUUAAGCAAUUUUCAGUAUUUUGGAAUUUGAAAGAGAACUCGGCUGCUUCUAAAAUUCUCAUUGUUUUUUCAGUCUCUCAAAAACUAACUUGAUUAGAAAGUAAGAGCCUUUUAUAGAGAACAACUAGGGCAGCGAAAAUGAGUCAAGUUAUUUGCCAAUUACUCCUUUUCGAAUUUUUGUUUUUGCUAGUGAAUCCUUAAUUUUAAAAUCUGUUUGCUAGGUCAGUCCCAAACCCACCUUCCUAGCAGCUUCCUAAGUCUGUUAGAAUAGAUUCCCCAGCCUAAACUCCCUAGACUACCCUUAAAACCCAUGCCAGUUACCAUUAAGCCAAAUAUGGGUCAAUUUGACCCAAAACUAACCAGACAACGGGCUUGCAAACCCGGGCUAAUCCCCUUUCUUUGGGUUUAUGAUUUACAAAACCCAAUUCAAAUCAAAAUCAAAGCUCACAAAAUUAAGGGGCUAAACGGAAUUGCCCCAAAACCAAAAUUUCUUUUGAAAAAUGAAAUAAACAAAAAGUAGGGAUAAAUCGAAACUAACACAAAAAUUAAAACAAACAUGAACUAACAAGUUUUUUUUUUUAAUUUCAAACAUGCAAACAGAAAGUGAUUCAAACAGAAAAAUGAAAAAUAAUAAGGAAAAAGAAAAGAUGAAACAGAAGGAGAUGGAGACGGGGAAAAUAACAAAAUGAAGACGAAGAGAAAAAUGGAAAUACCUAUAAUAACAGGCGAAAGAAUGGCUUGAAUGGACCUCCGACAUUCUGAUUUCGAGCCGAAAUUGGUAUUCAUCGUGGGUUUUUAUUGAGAAUCCGACGAAAACAACAAUUUCGACCCCAAAUCAACAUCGAAGCUUGAAAAAUUCGGGAGAUUUUGUUUUCCUCUACUGCCUUCUUAGAUCCGAAAUUGGCUCUUUUUGGUGAUGAUUCGAGGGAAUAUGGUGAUGGAUUGGGGGUCAGGGGUGAGUGAGGGUUGUGUGGUGUUUAUUUGGGGUUAAUUGGAGGUGGCACCGCCGGCUAUAGAUGAUGGAGAAAUCAGGGCGGUGCUAGGGUUUGAUGAGGGAGAUGAGAGAUAGA
Molecule: long non-coding RNA, 1602 nt
Filed under: Nicotiana tabacum (common tobacco)
Lineage: Eukaryota; Viridiplantae; Streptophyta; Magnoliopsida; Solanales; Solanaceae
Description: long non-coding RNA (NTAB_LNC019285)
Source: RNAcentral